AUCUUUAGUUACCAGCACUUCGGGUGGGGACUCUAGAGAUACUGCCCCGGUCAACGGGGAGAAGGUGGGGAUGACGUCAAGUCCUCAUGGCCUUUAUGCCUAGGGCUACACACGUGCGUACAAUGGGCGGUACAAAGGGUCGCGAUCCCGCGAGGGGGAGCCAAUCCCAAAAAGCCGUCCCAAGUUCGGAUUGGAGUCUGCAACUCGACUCCAUGAAGCUGGAAUCGCUAGUAAUCGCGGAUCAGCAUGCCGCGGUGAAUACGUUCCCGGGCCUU
RNAcentral lists this ribosomal RNA (275 nucleotides) under uncultured Desulfobacteraceae bacterium. Its description in RNAcentral is "partial 16S ribosomal RNA". It matches the Rfam family "Bacterial small subunit ribosomal RNA", at positions 1107 to 1382 of the family's 1533-position model. The record is from RNAcentral. Lineage: Bacteria; Pseudomonadati; Thermodesulfobacteriota; Desulfobacteria; Desulfobacterales; Desulfobacteraceae.